UUUGGUUAAAUUAUAUAUUUAGCUAUUUGUUCACCAUUGAAUAAUUUGAAUCGACCAGGUGCAAGCUGUUUGGCUUGUAUAUGAUGUUUUAUUUUCUUGCUAUUUUACUUACAGUAGAUUUAUUAAGAAUAUUAAGGUAUCUGGGCUCCAUUAGUUGUCCUGCCUUUAACCUGUUAAAAAGCUAGGGUAGAUGCCGGUGACGUAAGCAUCUUUAGGAAGACAGUCGGGCCUGGAGCAACACAUUUUCUGACCGUGCCACCUGUUACGUGGAUAGUGUAAUGUAUUAUAGUGUUAAUGGGCUGACGUUACACUACUUUGUCAUUUUUUUUGUAACGCCUUAAUACUUUGUGUUCAAGAGGAAAUAAAGCGAAGCCCUUUUUUUUUUUUGUCGUCGUCGUUGCUGAACGGAAAAGCCCGUCGAAGAAAGGCACGAGUCGGGAACCUUCAUGCCCUGCUGACGUAGUGACAAAAAGACAGACCGAAAUCUUUGUGAAAAGGUGUAAUCACAAGCAUCAUCAAGAGGCACCAACCACCGCGCGUCGUCUGGUUCUCAACUUCUCUCCUCCUCGCCUGGCUGCAAGUCUCGCCGGCCCUCAGGAUUCCGUUUACACAGUCACGGCAAUAUCCCGCCUUUGCUUGAGUACGUAUAAAAAGCGUAGUCGGUUAAAUUACGGACUUUCAGUAACGGCUGUGACAUAUCGAUUAAGCGCGAUCUCUUUCGUUCAUCUUGUUGCGUUGAAAGCACUUGUUGCUGUCUGACAAUUUUUUUUUUUUUUUUUUUUUUUGCAUGACUGUCUUGGCAAAGCCCCUCCUGCUUGGGUCUGUAUUCCAAGGAACUGUCAGGACCUUCUGAUACCGCCCGAUGUGACAAUUUGGCAGACUCUUUGGAGGGCUCAAUCGUCCGCGACCCCCUGUGACCUACGGUGAAGGCGCAUCUCGGGAGAGGCAACAAGGCUUCACGGCCCAUUUAAAGACACGACGUGCUUCCUCAUCGCUAAGA
Hippocampus comes (tiger tail seahorse) is the source of this 1000-nucleotide long non-coding RNA. RefSeq lists it as uncharacterized. The transcript is spliced from 5 exons. The record is from RefSeq and is a predicted model, not a curated record. Lineage: Eukaryota; Metazoa; Chordata; Actinopteri; Syngnathiformes; Syngnathidae.